UACGGAGGGUGCAAGCGUUAUCCGGAUUUACUGGGUUUAAAGGGUGUGUAGGCGGACUUUUAAGUCAGCGGUGAAAUCUCCGGGCUCAACCCGGAAACUGCCAUUGAUACUAUUUGUCUUGAAUGUUGUUGAGGUGGGCGGAACGGGUCAUGUAGCGGUGAAAUGCAUAGAUAUGACCCGGAACACCGAUUGCGAAGGCAGCCCACUAAGCAACGAUUGACGCUGAGGCACGAAAGCGUGGGGAUCAAACGGG
RNAcentral lists this ribosomal RNA (253 nucleotides) under uncultured bacterium. Its description in RNAcentral is "partial 16S ribosomal RNA". It matches the Rfam family "Bacterial small subunit ribosomal RNA", at positions 524 to 776 of the family's 1533-position model. The record is from RNAcentral.